Molecule: ribosomal RNA, 429 nt
Filed under: Pseudomonadota bacterium
Lineage: Bacteria; Pseudomonadati; Pseudomonadota
Description: Proteobacteria bacterium partial 16S ribosomal RNA
Rfam family: Bacterial small subunit ribosomal RNA
Source: RNAcentral
UGGGGAAUAUUGGACAAUGGGCGAAAGCCUGAUCCAGCCAUGCCGCGUGUGUGAAGAAGGUCUUCGGAUUGUAAAGCACUUUAAGUUGGGAGGAAGGGCAGUAAGCGAAUACCUUGCUGUUUUGACGUUACCGACAGAAUAAGCACCGGCUAACUCUGUGCCAGCAGCCGCGGUAAUACAGAGGGUGCAAGCGUUAAUCGGAAUUACUGGGCGUAAAGCGCGCGUAGGUGGUUCGUUAAGUUGAAUGUGAAAGCCCCGGGCUCAACCUGGGAACUGCAUCCAAAACUGGCGAGCUAGAGUAGGGCAGAGGGUGGUGGAAUUUCCUGUGUAGCGGUGAAAUGCGUAGAUAUAGGAAGGAACGCCAGUGGCGAAGGCGACCACCUGGGCUCAUACUGACACUGAGGUGCGAAAGCGUGGGGGGCAAACAGG